Molecule: ribosomal RNA, 301 nt
Filed under: uncultured bacterium
Lineage: Bacteria
Description: partial 16S ribosomal RNA
Rfam family: Bacterial small subunit ribosomal RNA
Source: RNAcentral
CAGUCGCCACGGUAAUACGUAGGGUGCAAGCGUUAAUCGGAAUUACUGGGCGUAAAGCGUGCGCAGGCGGUUUGUUAAGACAGAUGUGAAAUCCCCGGGCUCAACCUGGGAACUGCAUUUGUGACUGGCAAGCUAGAGUGUGGCGGAGGGGGGUGGAAUUCCGCGUGUAGCAGUGAAAUGCGUAGAUAUGCGGAGGAACACCGAUGGCGAAGGCAGCCUCCUGGGAUAACACUGACGCUCAUGCACGAAAGCGUGGGGAGCAAACAGGAUUAGAUACCCCCGUAGUCCCUGUCUCUUAUAC